CUCUCCAAAGUGUCCUGAAUUGGCGGGAGGGGAGGGGAGGUACAAUAAGAUAUUUUGGAAAUUCUAAAUUUUGUUGGGGUUUAUUCUAGUAAUUCUGGGACAAAUAUUUGACGUUAUUCUUAUUAAAAACAAGCCGAAGCGAGGGCCGAAGGCCCGAGGAAAUUUUUAAAUUUAGAGUCCCUGAAAUGCCAUUUCCUGGACUUUGGGGGAAGAUUUGACAGAAUUCUGAUGGUCAGAAAACAGCGUUUUAGUAUGUCGAAAUUUACAAUUUAGUGGUACUAAAUGAUAUAAAGAUUACAAAAAUGGCGAUAUAAAGAUUACAAAAAUCAUUAUUGUGUUUUAAAAAUGAUGAGUGAAAACGAGAUGCAAUUCUAAAGAACAUUCUUGUUUACUGAUAUUUUUUGUGUGUGUUUUUGACGUUGUUAUUAAAGAUUAUGCAACAUGCCAAAAUAAAGGAGGGCUCAGCAAGCUGGUCAUAUUCAGCAAAUUUUCUCCCAGGACCGCACGCUCAUAUUGUCAGUGAACUUGCGGUGUAAAAUUGAAACUUUUGCAUUUUUCAGAGAACUGGCCACUUUCUGUAAGAUGUCCGCUGUCAAUACGAACCCGCACGAGUGGGAGAAAUUUUGCUAAAUUUGACCAACGUGCAGCCCCCAAGUCAACAUGAAAUUUCAACAAGGGGGCUCAGCCCCCCUGAGCCCUCCCUCCAGUACACCACUUGGCCUAUCUUCUAAGCAAGGAAUAUUUUUUUUGCACUAUGCCUGGAAAGAUUUUUUUUUUCUUAAUUUUUUUCUGUGAAUAAUUUUUUUUUUUGGUUUUGCCCCCCCCC
This is a non-coding RNA of Paramuricea clavata, 826 nucleotides long. NCBI's taxonomy places the organism in Eukaryota, Metazoa, Cnidaria, Anthozoa, Malacalcyonacea, Plexauridae. The record is from the annotation of a GenBank genome assembly.